Molecule: ribosomal RNA, 384 nt
Filed under: uncultured bacterium
Lineage: Bacteria
Description: bacterial SSU rRNA
Rfam family: Bacterial small subunit ribosomal RNA
Source: RNAcentral
GACGAACGCUGGCGGCGUGCUUAACACAUGCGAGUCGAACGGUAAGGCCCUUCGGGUACACGAGUGGCGAACAGGUGAGUAACACGUGGGUGAUCUGCCCUGCACUUCGGGAUAAGCCUGGGAAACUGGGUCUAAUACCGGAUAGGACUCCUGGCUUCAUGGUUGGGGGUGUAAAGCUUUUGCGGUGUGGGAUGGGCCCGCGGCCUAUCAGCUUGUUGGUGGGUAAUGGCCUACCAAGGCGACGACGGGUAGCCGGCCUGAGAGGGUGACCGGCCACACUGGGACUGAGAUACGGCCCAGACUCCUACGGGAGGCAGCAGUGGGGAAUAUUGCACAAUGGGCGCAAGCCUGAUGCAGCGACGCCGCGUGAGGGAUGACGGCCUC